UCAAGUUAUUAAGGGUGCAGGGCGGAUGCCUUGGCACUAGGAGCCGAUGAAGGACGUGAUAAGCUGCGAUAAGCUUCGGGGAGUUGCACGUAAACUUUGAUCCGAAGAUUUCCGAAUGAGGAAACUCACUUAGAGUAAUGUCUAAGUAUCAUUAAGUGAAUACAUAGCUUAAUGAGGGGAACUCAGGGAACUGAAACAUCUAAGUACCUGAAGGAAGAGAAAGAAAUUCGAUUCCGUAAGUAGCGGCGAGCGAACGCGGAUUAGCCCAAACCAAUAAAGUUUUCUUUAUUGGGGUUGCGGACAUAUCAUAACGAAGAGGUAUCGUAAUUGAAGAGGUUUGGAAAGACCCACCACAGAAGGUAAUAGUCCUGUAUGUUAAACGAGAAGACUUCAGAUAUGAUCCAGAGUACCACGGGACACGUGAAACCCUGUGGGAAGCAGGAGGGACCACCCUCCAAGGCUAAAUACUACCUAGUGACCGAUAGCGUAUAGUACCGUGAGGGAAAGGUGAAAAGAACCCCGGGAGGGGAGUGAAAUAGAACCUGAAACCCUGCACUUACAAGCUGUGGAAGCACAUUUCUUGUGUGACCGCGUACUUUUUGUAGAACGGGCCAACGAGUUACGUUAAGUAGCAAGGUUAAGCACUUAAGGUGUGGAGCCGUAGCGAAAGCGAGUUUUAACUGAGCGUUCAGUUACUUGACGUAGACCCGAAACCGGGCGACCUACCCAUGAGCAGGAUGAAGCGAAAGUAAAAUUUCGUGGAGGUCCGAACCCACGAGCGUUGAAAAGCUCGGGGAUGACUUGUGGGUAGCGGUGAAAUUCCAAUCGAGCCCGGAGAUAGCUGGUUCUCCCCGAAAUAGCUUUAGGGCUAGCCUCAAGGUGAGAGAUACGGAGGUAGAGCACUGAAUGUCCUAGGGGGUAUUGCACCUACCGAAGACUAUCAAACUCCGAAUGCCGUCAUCUUAUACUUGGGAGUCAGACUGUGGGUGAUAAGAUUCAUAGUCGAAAGGGCAACAGCCCAGAUCGUCAGCUAAGGUCCCUAAAUGUAAGUUAAGUGGUAAAGGAUGUGGGAUUGCACAGACAACCAGGAUGUUGGCUUAGAAGCAGCCACUCAUUCAAAGAGUGCGUAAUAGCUCACUGGUCGAGUGAUCCUGCGCCGAAGAUUUCCGGGGCUAAAACUUACUACCGAAGCUACGGCAUCAGUAAUGAUGGGUAGGGGAGCUUCCCAUACGGGUUGAAGCAUGACCGUAAGGACAUGUGGACAGUAUGGGAGUGAGAAUGUUGGCAUGAGUAGCGAGAUGUGGGUGAGAAUCCCACAGGCCGUAAACCCAAGGUUUCCAGGGGAAGGUUCGUCCGCCCUGGGUUAGUCGGGACCUAAGCUGAGGCCGAAAGGCGUAGGUGAUGGACAACAGGUUGAUAUUCCUGUACUACCGAUAACCGUUUGAGAGAAGGGAUGACACAGUAGGAUAAGCUAAGCACACUGUUGGUUAUGUGUGCCCAAGCAUUGAGGCAGUCAAAGUAGGCAAAUCCGCUUUGAUAAUGCUGGGAUGUGAUGGGGAGCGAAAUUUAGUAGCGAAGUAGCUGAUUUCACACUGUCAAGAAAAGUCUCUAUCGAGGUUAAAGGUACCCGUACCGCAAACCGACACAGGUGGGUGAGGAGAGUAUCCUAAGGCCAGCGAGAGAACUGUUGUUAAGGAACUCGGCAAAAUGACCCCGUAACUUAGGGAUAAGGGGUGCCACCAUCAGGUGGCCGCAGAGAAUAGGCCCAAGCGACUGUUUACCAAAAACAUAGGUUUCUGCUAAGUCGCAAGACGAUGUAUAGGAGCUGACGCCUGCCCGGUGCUGGAAGGUUAAGGGGAUCUGUUAGAGCAAUCGAAGCAGUGAACUUAAGCCCCAGUAAACGGCGGCCGUAACUAUAACGGUCCUAAGGUAGCGAAAUUCCUUGUCGGGUAAGUUCCGACCCGCACGAAAGGCGUAACGAUUUGGGCACUGUCUCAACAACAGACUCGGUGAAAUUGUAAUUCCGGUGAAGAUGCCGGAUACCUGCGACAGGACGGAAAGACCCCAUGGAGCUUUACUGUAGCUUGACAUUGGGUCUUGGUACUACAUGUACAGGAUAGGUGGGAGGCUUUGAAACCAGGACGCCAGUUUUGGCGGAGCCAUCCUUGGGAUACCACCCUUGUAGUACUGGGACUCUAACCAUAGGCCAUGAAUCUGGUCUUGGGACACUGUCAGGUGGGCAGUUUGACUGGGGCGGUCGCCUCCCAAAAGGUAACGGAGGCGCUCAAAGGUUCUCUCAGUACGGUCGGAAAUCGUACGUAGAGUGUAAAGGCAAAAGAGAGCUUGAUUGCAAGACAUACAGGUCGAGCAAGGAUGAAAAUCGGACUUAGUGAUCCGGUGGUUCUGCGUGGAAGGGCCAUCGCUCAACGGAUAAAAGCUACCCUGGGGAUAACAGGCUUAUCUCCCCCAAGAGUCCACAUCGACGGGGAGGUUUGGCACCUCGAUGUCGGCUCAUCACAUCCUGGGGCUGUAGUAGGUCCCAAGGGUUGGGCUGUUCGCCCAUUAAAGUGGUACGCGAGCUGGGUUCAGAACGUCGUGAGACAGUUCGGUCCCUAUCCGUCGCAGGCGUAGGAAAUUUGAGAAGACCUGUCCUUAGUACGAGAGGACCGGGAUGGACGUACCUCUGGUGUACCAGUUGUUCUGCCAAGGGCAUGGCUGGGUAGCUAUGU
RNAcentral lists this ribosomal RNA (2729 nucleotides) under Clostridioides difficile. Its description in RNAcentral is "23S ribosomal RNA". It matches the Rfam family "Bacterial large subunit ribosomal RNA". Lineage: Bacteria; Bacillati; Bacillota; Clostridia; Peptostreptococcales; Peptostreptococcaceae. The record is from RNAcentral.